This is a long non-coding RNA of Aricia agestis (brown argus), 78 nucleotides long. RefSeq lists it as uncharacterized. The transcript is spliced from 3 exons. The record is from RefSeq and is a predicted model, not a curated record. Lineage: Eukaryota; Metazoa; Arthropoda; Insecta; Lepidoptera; Lycaenidae.
UAGAAGUUAGGUGGCUGGUACCGACUUCAAAAUUAUGAAGAUUGAGUAAAGAUAUAGUUGAGGCUUAGGCCAAUCCUA